UAGAGUAAUGCGUGACCAACCUGCCCCAUGCUCCAGAAUAGCUCUUGGAAACGGGUGGUAAUGCUGGAUGCUCCAACUUGACGCAUGUCUUGUUGGGAAAGUGUUUAGUGGCAUGGGAUGGGGUCGCGUCCUAUCAGCUUGUAGGCGGGGUAAUGGCCCACCUAGGCUUCGACGGGUAGCCGGCCUGAGAGGGCGGACGGCCACAUUGGGACUGAGAUACGGCCCAGACUCCUACGGGAGGCAGCAGAA
RNAcentral lists this ribosomal RNA (249 nucleotides) under uncultured Gardnerella sp. RNAcentral's name for it is "partial 16S ribosomal RNA". It matches the Rfam family "Bacterial small subunit ribosomal RNA", at positions 107 to 354 of the family's 1533-position model. Lineage: Bacteria; Bacillati; Actinomycetota; Actinomycetes; Bifidobacteriales; Bifidobacteriaceae. The record is from RNAcentral.